AACGAACGCUAGCGGUGCGUUUUAAGCAUGCAAGUCGAACGGUAUUUUUGUUGCUUGCGACAAAAAGAGAGUGGCGAACGGGUGAGUAACAAGUAAGUAAUUUUUCUAUAUGACUGGAAUAGCCAGUGGAAACAUUGGGUAAUGCCAGAUAUUUUGUGUAAGGGAAACUUUACAUAAAAAAGGGUAUUUUUAUGCAGCAUAUAGCGAAGCUUGCGGCUGAUUAGCUUGUUGGUAAGGUAAUGGCUUACCAAGGCGACGAUCAUUAGCCUGCCUUAGAUGGUGAUCGGCCACACUGGGACUGAGACACGGCCCAUACUCCUACUGGAGUCAGCA
This 333-nucleotide ribosomal RNA is filed under the name uncultured bacterium. RNAcentral describes it as "bacterial SSU rRNA". It matches the Rfam family "Bacterial small subunit ribosomal RNA", at positions 29 to 353 of the family's 1533-position model. The record is from RNAcentral.